This 520-nucleotide ribosomal RNA is filed under the name uncultured Glomus. Its description in RNAcentral is "SSU rRNA". It matches the Rfam family "Eukaryotic small subunit ribosomal RNA", at positions 569 to 1088 of the family's 1831-position model. Lineage: Eukaryota; Fungi; Glomeromycota; Glomeromycetes; Glomerales; Glomeraceae. The record is from RNAcentral.
AGCAGCCGCGGUAAUUCCAGCUCCAAUAGCGUAUAUUAAAGUUGUUGCAGUUAAAAGCUCGUAGUUGAAUUUCGGGAUCAAUACGUUGGUCGUGCUUUCGGGUACGUACUGGCGUCAUUGGUUUCUCUCUUCUGACGAACCAUGAUGUCAUUAGUUUGGUGUUAUGGGGAGUUAGGACUGUUACUUUGAAAAAAUUAGAGUGUUUAAAGCAGGCUCACGCUUGAAUACAUUAGCAUGGAAUAAUGAAAUAGGACGUUUGAUUCUAUUUUGUUGGUUUCUAGGAUCGACGUAAUGAUUAAUAGGGAUAGUUGGGGGCAUUAGUAUUCAAUUGUCAGAGGUGAAAUUCUUGGAUUUAUUGAAGACUAACUACUGCGAAAGCAUUUGCCAAGGAUGUUUUCAUUAAUCAAGAACGAAAGUUAGGGGAUCGAAGAACGAUCAGAUACCGUCGUAGUCUUAACCAUAAACUAUGCCGACUAGGGAUCGGAUGAUGUUAAUUUUUUCAAUGACUCAUUCGGCGCCU